UCAUUUUUUUGCGGUUUAGUAAAUCCAGUGAGGCAACAGUGUUUGAACAACAAGAUGCAGAGAUGAGAUGCAGACAGCUGAUGACACAUGAUAUUUGAGGAUAAAUCAAAUCUUACUUCCCUAAUCUAGAGGCUCUCGGGUAGUUGCCAGGACCAAAUAGAGUUCCAUACCAGUCAUAUAAAAAAAGCUUGAUGUCUUAUGGUUCCUGUGAAGGUGGUAUAGAAGAGGCAAACCAUCCCAAAAGCAUGGAAGAGCAGGGUGAGUGUUAAUCCUCAAGGAAAAAGAUGCCUCGAACAUCGACCAAUUACGGCAAAUCAAUCUCCUGAAUGUUAAAGGGAAGAGCUUCUUUAGCAUUGUUGCUCAAAGGAUGACAACCUACCUGAAACAGAACAAUUGUAUUGACACGUCGGUACAGAAAGCUGGAAUACCAGGCUUCUCGGGAUGCUUAGAACACACAAGCAUGAUAUGGCAUUAAAUCCAGACUGCAAAGAGGGAAGGAAAAGAUCUGCCCUUCUUAUUCCUGGACCUAGCCAAUGCUUUUGGGUCCGUCCCCCAUUCUCUCCUCUGGACAGCCUUCAAGUUCUUCCAGAUGCCAACGACCACCACAAACCUGAUAACUUGGUGACCUCCCAUAAAUCUCCUGGUGGAUCUUGGGCAUGUCCUGAGCCCAGCUGCAGAGGAAUUCACCUGAAAGGAACAACCUUUCUAUUGUAAAACCGUCUGAAUGCUUUUACUGUUUAUGGGAAGGUUUAUCUAAAUAGGAGGGCCUGAACAGCAAAGUGUCAUCACUCAGGCCGCCCUCACUGAGAGCCUCUGAAUGCAUUGUUUUGUGCUUGCCUUGCACAUUGCUCUCCAAUGAGGCCGGCCUCAGCCCGCUUUUGAGUGCCUGAUACAGAUAUGAGGUCAUGGGCUGAGGAAAAAGCCUCUCCCUCUUUGCUGAGGCCUGUGGGUACUUCGACCCGAGUAAACAAACAAGCAGGAGGCACUGCUUCCCUAAGAGGGCCAAUGAUUCUCCUCAAAAAGAAGCAAGAGCCACAAAGGCAGCUUUUAGCCGCUGGUGCAGACGAUCCCCCGGGAGACGCUUUGUGGCUUCAUAAUGAUCAUCAAU
Long non-coding RNA from Perca flavescens (yellow perch), 1108 nucleotides. RefSeq lists it as uncharacterized. The transcript has 3 exons. The record is from RefSeq and is a predicted model, not a curated record. Lineage: Eukaryota; Metazoa; Chordata; Actinopteri; Perciformes; Percidae.